GAUGAACGCUGGCGGCGUGCUUAACACAUGCAAGUCGAACGGAAAGGCCCUGCUUGCAGGGUACUCGAGUGGCGAACGGGUGAGUAACACGUGGGUGAUCUGCCCUGCACUUCGGGAUAAGCCUGGGAAACUGGGUCUAAUGCCGGAUAGGAGCCAUUUUUAGUGUGAUGGUUGGAAAGUUUUUUCGGUGUAGGAUGAGCUCGCGGCCUAUCAGCUUGUUGGUGGGGUAAUGGCCUACCAAGGCGGCGACGGGUAGCCGGCCUGAGAGGGUGGACGGCCACAUUGGGACUGAGAUACGGCCCAGACUCCUACGGGAGGCAGCAGUGGGGAAUAUUGCACAAUGGGCGCAAGCCUGAUGCAGCGACGCCGCGUGGGGGAUGACGGCCUUCGGGUUGUAAACUCCUUUCGCUAGGGACGAAGCUUUUUGUGACGGUACCUAGAUAAGAAGCACCGGCUAACUACGUG
RNAcentral lists this ribosomal RNA (465 nucleotides) under uncultured bacterium. Its description in RNAcentral is "partial 16S ribosomal RNA". It matches the Rfam family "Bacterial small subunit ribosomal RNA", at positions 28 to 507 of the family's 1533-position model. The record is from RNAcentral.